CAGCAGCUAAGGGGGGAAGGAGCUCUCCCAGAGAAGAGGGGAGAGGCCUGACUGUAGGAGCAGCUUCUGUCACUGCUGGAUGACGGAGGAUUCUCCGGAUCUGGAAGACACUUGCUAGCCUUGGCCUUCCAAAACAUAGAGACUCCAGCAGUCUGUGUAUCAGAAGUGACAGCAGCCAGAUACCACCUGAGAAAAGACUCCACUCACCUCAGGACAGCACAAACAACAAAACUCAGCAGGCACCUAAUAACCUACUAGCUAUAACUAGUUGCAGCCCACAACCUGGGAAGCUGCCACUGGUUUUGUGGUCAUAAGUUCAAAGAUUGAAGUUUGGAUGCUGGAGUGAUGAUAUUCGUUGUGCUUUCACACUUAGCAGGGAAGACCACAAGCAGGUUGUCAUCUUCCCUGAAAUCCAGUCUGCAGCAACAGUGUGCAACAAAAAUUUGGCUGUAGAUCCAACCAUCAAGCUUCUGGGUUUCCACCAGCAAUGUAAAUAUUGGACAACACUGAACUGCAUUUGUAAAGGACAUGGAACACAUGUGCCUAUUUAUUGAACAAAUGGGGCAUCAAGGUCUUGCCGAACUGCAUAUGUGGUAAGGUGUAGUUAAUGAGCCACUUUGCAAACUCCAGCCCUGAACCCGCAUAUCAUGGAGGGAUUGAAGCAAUCCACUUUGAUAUCCAGUUGAUGACAUCCAGGCCAGCUAACCUUAACAUACAGCUUUAAUUAACCCGCACCUUCUCUGCUGUUGCUUGCCCUAGCCAUAUGAGAGAAGAACCCAGGAAUUGGGUUCUUUAAUUCACCUCCACCCCCCUAGCCUGAAGGAACUCGGGCUCAUGUCUCCCACCUAAGUACAGAAUGGGCUUGGGCACCACAUACUCCUGUCAAGAAAAUGGGACCAGCCUGCAGACCAGGGAAGUCCUGGGGUCCCAGUAGAGUAGCUAGGACAUGAUGAAUCCUGGGUGUGACAAGAAUUUAAGAUAUGGAAUAUAGUACUGUUACUUUGUUCAUUUAUUUGAAGGUGGGAGUUUGAGAGACUUUGAUUGUUUGGAAGGGACCAUAAGUUUGUGACACAAAGCCUGAGGCCCUCCAUGAUGGAAAACAUCCUGUGCUUGCCUGUGCGGCCACAGGGUUGUACCAGGAAACAACAAGCCACUUUGCAUGAAGAAUGACUGAAAUUCCAGGCAAUAUUUCUGCAAUUGGUGUGGGUUUAGCUGAAGCAGGCAGAGAUGCAGCAGCAUAGAGAGGCUGAGAUAGCCUUGACUGAAUCAUAGUACAGCAACCAAAGAGGUGAGGCAAAGAGGCUAAGGAGCAGCAGGGUAGCCACAAAAAAGUCUGUGUGUGAGAGACCUAGAGAGCACAGAAUGUUCACCUCUAUAGGGGGAUGACCAAAAUGAGGAUUAGCCAGAUGAGAUGGAGACAUUAACUUGUGCACUGAAAAGUGAGGCACAUGGAAAACCUGCACAGGGUGAUAUGACAGAGAUGAGAACCCAUGGGGUGGGGGGGGAUGGAGGGCAGUACAACUGGGACAUGGGCAGUCAGGGCUUGACUCAGAGGGUCACAAGCCAAGAUAUCAAGAACAGACAAGUUCAGGAAACAAGGUUCCCAACUAAAGUCAUGAGUAAGGGGAUCAAGAGCAGUCAAGAAAGGAGGCUGAGGUCUGUAAGGGACAUGCACAAGAUGUUCUCCAUCUUGGUUGACUCUUUUUUGACCCUAAGGUUUGUGUCACAAACUCAUGCCCCUUUCCAAACAAUCAAAGUCUCUCCAAUUCUCACCUCCGAAGACAAACACAGUCAUCCUCAGUAGAGCCAUGAGCCAGAGAGCAAGGGGUCAGAAACAAGAGCCAAGUGUCCAAACCAGUUACUAGCCAGGGUGUCCAGAGCAGGCAGCCAGGAAGUGGUAAGCCAACAAACAGGAUCCAGGAAGCUAGGAACAAGCAGACAGGAACCAAGAACUGGGAAACUUGAGCUGCUGAGUUUUUGUUUCUAACCUAAAGAGAGAGACAUCUGUUCUGUUGAGUAACUGGGAGUCAACUGGAAUUAGUUAGACUGCUGGCAGCCAAGUCCACUCAGUCAACUGGGACCAGCUGGAGGCAAUUUUGCCUGCCUGCUGUCCAGAGUCCUAACAGUAUGCAGAACCUUCCCUCAGAGGUGUGGGCUUAAAGAAGGUAUAAGCUCUGAUCCCAGGAAAAGAGAUUGCAAUGACUGCUUCCUGGGAACUACUGCCAAGGCUGGGAUACCGCUGCAGUUAGCAAGGAUGGCUAAAAAUUAAGACGGUGACUUUCCUGAUCUUUCCUGAAGAAAAUCUGUCCUUAAAUUGGGUAUCAUUUUGGUAAUGAUAACCUGAUGAGGAACACAUUCCUAAAAGAGCCAAUUAGGCUAAAUGUAGAUUGGGUGUCAUUAGAAGUACUGGUCAAAUUUAAUAAAUUAUUCAGUCUUUCCAAAGACUGAUUUUAUAGAGGCAUUCAGAAAAUCUGUAGCGGUACUCUAGUCUUCCAUAAUUCAAAUUAAGGUAUUUUCAAAUAAACCCCACUCUGAAGUGAA
Molecule: long non-coding RNA, 2541 nt
Organism: Alligator sinensis (Chinese alligator)
Lineage: Eukaryota; Metazoa; Chordata; Crocodylia; Alligatoridae
Exons: 2
Source: RefSeq, a predicted model, not a curated record